GUAAGGCGGCAAGUGUCUCAGUGUCAAUGUGCCCGGCGCUUCCAGGUGGAACAGAUCAGUGCCAACCGCUACCGAUUUGGGGAAUCCCAGCAGCUUCGACUGGUGCGGAUCCUACGAAGCUGCCUCAUGGUCCGUGUUGGAGGUGGCUGGAUUGCACUAGAUGAAUUCCUGGUCAAGAAUGAUCCUUGCAGAGUGAAAAGCCGAACUAACCUGAAGAUUAAUGAGAAGUUCCUGACUCCAGAUGGAACUCCUGACCCCCCUCACAAAACCUUAUCUCGGAGCUGCUCUGCCUCUAAUCUCAGCCUCUCCAGCAGUGCCUCAGCCCCCAACAGUCCCCAAGCCCGAAAGUCAGUUCUUCGGAGAACCAGGUCUGGGGACAGGGCACCCCGCCCCUUCAGCACUACAUUGCUCACUGACAGCAAGCCCAGAACAACUACAGAGGUAUCAGUGAAAAGCAAGCCAAUUGGGGUACCUGUGGGCACAGGGCAGGUGCCAGACUCAGAAAGCACAGAGCAGAUUCAAGAAGACACACAGCAGGCACCAGAGGAGUCAGAACAUAUACCGGAAAAAGCAAAAGAGGAAACAACAGAAGAGACAAAGAAGGCAUCAAAAACAGAGCAGGCACUGGAGAGCAAAGAUUGGGCCACAGAGAAAACAGAAAGGGCAGGUGGGAAAGAGGGAAGGGAGAUAUUGGAAGGCACAGGGCAGGCAUUAGAGAAAAAAACAGAGCAGACACUGGAGGAGACAGCUCAGGUACUAGAAACAGAAUGGGCAACAGAGGGCACAGGACAAGCACUGGAGAAGGAAACACAGCAGACACUGGAAGAGACAGCUCAGGUACUAGAGACAGAGUGGGCACUGAAAGGCACAGGCCAGGUGCUAGUGAAAGAAGCACAGAAUGAAUUAAAGGGGAUUAAGCAAGUCCUAGAGGCAGAGCAGGCACCAGAAUGGAAAGAAAGGACACUGGAGAAGGCAAAGUGGACACUGGAGGGGAUACAACAGGAACCAAAGGCACUGGAGAAGGGAGAGAAUCUACAUGGGAAAGAGGCAGAGCAGGCACUAAAGGAUAUAGAGUGGGCACCAGAAUGGAAGGAGAGGACCCUAGAAGGGACAAAAGAGGGAUCGAAGGAGGAGACAAAGGUGGCUGGGAAAGAAGCAUUAGAACAGUCAUUACAGGAAACAGAGAGGACAAAGCCGGCAGCAGAGGGCACAGAGUGGGCACCAGAAAAGCUAGAAAGCACAGUAGAGGGCAUAGAGAGGGCAUCGGGACACGUAGAGCAAGAACUGGAGGGGAAGGAGCAGCUACCAGAGCAGAGGAAGAAUGAACCAGAGGAGAGAGAGCAGGAGCUGGAGAGCACAGGAAUAAAGCCUAGGCAGAACUGAGCUGUGGACCAAUCAGAAGAUCAAUUGCUGAGGGUUAAGAGCCCAGGGCUUUUAGGGCUGCGUGGGGGUAACCCCCGGAAGAGACUACAUCUAUCACAGCUCCUUCCCUCCCCCCGCCCCCCAGCGCUCAGGGACUGUUGACCUCCUGCUGUGCGUGUGGAGCGGGGCGGGGCACCUGACGGCUUUCACCUAGGAGAAUCUGAUGGGCAUGCCCAGCUCUAAGCAGGCUGGACGGACGUCUGUGUGUCCGCAUGUUUGUGUACUCCCUGCUGGCAGCAGAGGUCCUGCCCUCAGUGGCUUAGGUCUCCCGCUACCCUCACACCUCAGCAAUAAAGUUUUAUAUAAACGCUAAUUACUUUUGUGG
This 1747-nucleotide long non-coding RNA is filed under the name Monodelphis domestica (gray short-tailed opossum). RNAcentral's name for it is "lncRNA (ENSMODG00000040838.1)". The record is from RNAcentral. Lineage: Eukaryota; Metazoa; Chordata; Mammalia; Didelphimorphia; Didelphidae.